Molecule: ribosomal RNA, 494 nt
Filed under: uncultured bacterium
Lineage: Bacteria
Description: partial 16S ribosomal RNA
Rfam family: Bacterial small subunit ribosomal RNA
Source: RNAcentral
GACGAACGCUGGCGGCGUGCUUAACACAUGCAAGUCGAACGGUGAAGCGGCUUCCUUUUUGGUGGGUGUGGAUGAGUGGCGAACGGGUGAGUAACACGUGAGUAACCUGCCCCCUUCUUCUGGAUAACCGCAUGAAAGUGUGGCUAAUACGGGAUAUUCUGGGUCUGUCGCAUGAUGGGUCUGGGAAAGAUAUUGUUUCGGUGGGGGAUGGGCUCGCGGCCUAUCAGCUUGUUGGUGGGGUGAUGGCCUACCAAGGCGGUGACGGGUAGCCGGCCUGAGAGGGUGGACGGUCACACUGGGACUGAGACACGGCCCAGACUCCUACGGGAGGCAGCAGUGGGGAAUAUUGCACAAUGGGCGCAAGCCUGAUGCAGCGACGCCGCGUGAGGGAUGGAGGCCUUCGGGUUGUGAACCUCUUUCGCCAGUGAAGCAGGCCUGCCUCGUUUGUGGGUGGGUUGACGGUAGCUGGAUAAGAAGCGCCGGCUAACUACGUG